ACAGGGUUUUGCUGUGUAACCCAGGCUAGUCUCGAACUCCUGAGUUCAAGUGAUACACCCACCUUGGUCUCCCAAAGUGCUGGGAUUACAGGUGUGAGCUACCAUGCCCGACCUAGAGGCUUUUCUAAGGAAGGCAGAAAAUAUUUGCCUAACACAGUGUGGGAAUUUUGCUGUCCUCGUGGAUCUUCAUAUCUUGCCACAAGGUUCAAACAAAGAUACAAGCUGGUUUUCUGAACAGAAGAAAGAGGAAGUCUGUUUACUGUUAAAAGAAACCAUUGAUUCAAGAGUUCAGGAGUACUUGGAAGUUCGCAAACAGCACAGGCCAUCAAAUGCAGAAUUCACAAGAUCCAAUCCCUUGUCCUUAAAAGGUUAUGGCUUUCAAAUCACAGCCUAUUUCCUCAAGAGAGGGAUACGCCUUCGCUGCAUCAGGAGCACACAGAAUGAUGAACUCUGUGUAUUCCCUGACAGAUUUGUGGUUUGUGUCAGUCAGCUUGCAUUCAGUCGUGAUCUUUUAGCAAAUCAGAAUGAAGAUUUGACAGAAAGAGUUCUCCAUGGAGUGUCUGAUUACUUUGCUGAGUGUGCAGAGAGUUCACUUCCUCCCAGUGCAAAGCUCCGGAGAAAUGCUCUGAAAGAAAUUGUGAAAAGAACUGAAACAAAAAGCAGUGUCAUGAGCAAAUCACACACCAGAAGAGACACUGUGGAAACAUCUAGUGACUCAGUGAUUGCAGAGAUAGCAAGGAGGAGGAAUGAUGGUCAGGCUUCCUCCAGUCCCCCAUCAGAAUCCACGGGACAAGCAGAGGAUUACAUGAAGGCAGCUGAGAGCCACUGGGGGCUUCCUGUUCAAAAGCUGGAAAAAGUUAAUCAGACCCAGCCAGAAGACACUAGUGGCCAGCAAAAACCUCAUCCUGGGGAACGGUUAAAGACAGGGCUUCUAAGCAGGAGCCCUGUCUGUAGCUGUGAGUCAGCAUCACCAGGUCCAAAACAAAGUCCACGAGUGGCCAAAACCCAACAGAAACGCAGGAACUGCAGCUCUGCGGAAGACUUCGACCACCACAGGAGAGUUUCUCUUGGAAGUGAUGGAUUAGUCCCUAGAGAGAUAAUAGUGGAAAAAAGCAAAGCUGUCAGGGUUUUGCCAGCUUCAGAGUUGUCAGAUCCAGGGUUACUUUUGAAACAAGAUUUGGCAAAAACCACGUCUAAGGAAGAGUUGCAUGUUUUGGAAAGUCUCUCCUCCAGACAUCUUAUGAAAAAUAACCCAGGGCAGGCACAGCAAACCGGCUCAGCCACAAACACUGAAAGAUUAUCUACAAUUCAGAACAGCCCAACCAAGAAAAGAAAGAAAUAUGAAAGAGGCCAUUAACACCGAAGAGGAUUGCACCGUUGGAGUUGAGGACAUAGUGGCCAAACCUGUGACAAGAGAGCUGCGAAUAUAGAUGCCAGGAUUUUAAAGGAAUUAAUUAGAAUGACUAAUUUAAAUAAGGAGUGUGUUAUCUGUGUUAUGGCUAUGGUUUGUUUUCAAAGCAUUUCAAACCAGGAGGCUAUAUGCUUGUUCUAACAGCAUUGCUUCUUUAUCAUUGUAUUUUAUGACUGUCUUCAGAGUAAUUAGUGAUGACAAAGAGCCAUCCACCUUGUCAGGGAGGAGACUGUGCAAGGACUGCAUGAAGAAACUGAUCAUGAGCCCCUUCUUGGUACAUCACUGUGCAGACCACACAAUGGACCACGCAAAGAGUGCUGCCGUGCUGCCAUUCAGCUCCAGGGGUACAAUCCAUCCCCCUGCUCCUCAGCCUGAGUAGGAGGGCAGUGAAGGAACAGGCUAGUGGUUCUUAGCAUGUGGUCCUGGGACCAGCUUCGUUGUCUGGAAAUGUGCUAGAAAUGUGGUUAUUGGGCCCUGCCCCGUGCUGAGUAACUGCCUUUGGGUGAUUCUGAAACGUGCUCGAGUUUGAGAACCACUGGACUAAUAGAACACUCCCCGGUGCUUCCUUCAGCCUGGCUGCCAUGGCCUCCAGCUCACCAGUUGGGGCCAGAUGUGCACAUGCAUCCCCUCAGACUCCCUCAAACUUGUAAAACACUUGGGUUUGGUGUAUGGGUCACUCUCUUCCUGGGUUCUACGAAAUGGGUUUUCACCUGGUUUGCCAGGGUGGUCUCUAUCUCCUGACCUCGUGAUCCACCCGCCUCGGCCUCCCAAAGUGCUGGGAUUACAGGUGAGACCCACUGCACCCGGCCUGUUUUGACAUUCUUAAUGAUCUUAAUAAUUUGGCAUCUGAAAGUCUGAAACAGUGUCAGUAUUCUUAGUCAAGAAGAACAAGUUCUUCAACCACUUACAUAGUACCCCAAAUUAUAUUCAAGUCCCUGUGACUCCAAUGCUUGGAGAAGUCAUUGAUCUGAUUUGAUUAAUGUUAUAACUUUGAAUUUCCUAACUUUCUCAGUAGCAUGGAUUCUAAGCCACUUCCAUGUGCUUUCAGAUGGCAUCUUAAUAGAUUGGUGUUGAGAUCAUUUUAAUGUCCGUAAACAAGAAAGGUCUGGGAACAAUCUGUAUGAUUUUUCUUUCACAUUUUCUUAUCUUUGCCACUGGAGGUUAACUGUCGUCCAAAUAUGCAUAUGAAUUGUGAAAUGCAAAGAAGCAAACAUUUGGGGGUAGGGGAGUAAGUGCUGUAGUUCUUUUGUUCACUUAUUUUAAUACUAUAGAAGUGUAUUUCAUUUUAUAAAAAGCAAGAAUCAUAAAAACCCUCUGUAUUUUGAUUUAUGGAGAAUAUAGCUUAUCUCUCAAGUAUCUCAAGAUAUAUCUUGGGGACCACAAUGGGAUCACAGUGUAAUUGUUUGCCGUUGGUGUCAUGUUUGGAUUUUAGCAUGGUUUGUUAUGCAUGUCAGUGUCCUUUGAUUUCAGAAAGAGCUUGGCGAGGGCAGAACACGUAAGGGAAGGAAACCUCUGCUCAAGAGGAUGGCCUGGGAUCACAGUGUCGCCAUUCCCAAUUUCCUUGAAUUCCUUCUUGGCAGACCCUACUGUAAUAUUGCCACAAAACUGUAAUGAGUGGCCCUCCUUUGGAGGUAACAGAUGCCUUUCCUAAGAACUCAAAAUUCUCUUUUCAGCAUGCUGUGACUUGAAUAUGGAAAUCAUUUUAAUUUCUUCUUUUCUCUUAUGAGGAAAUUUCCAUGCUUGGUUUGUCAAGACAAGAGAGUUCAUUCCUUAUUAUUGAAACAUUAAUGAAUUGAAACACGUUGAAGCAAGUAAAAAAUCAAAAUUAGUAUUUGAUCAGGGAACAGAAGGUGUAAAUUGGACAGAUCCCCCGAAUAACUUUCUUCAAUCAAGUUGAAAAAUCAAACAGCCAUGAACAGUGGAGAGACUGACAGACCCUGCUCCAGAGGAUGCAGGUGAUGGAUUGACUGGGAAUUUUUCUAGGCCCAGCAGCUCCCAAGGCCUUUUCAGUUCCUCCUUCACACGCUUGACUGGUGAGAAGAACGCAGAAGGCUUUUUCCCAAACCCACGGCGGGUGCCUGGGAAGAUGAAUACCAGCGCAUCCAUUCCUGUUGUCAGAGGGAGAGGUGGAAUGGUAAAUCAGGGCAGCCUCCAGCCAGGAGGUGGGAGACUGGGCUGGGUAUUUGGGAUGUGUCCCAGUAGGAGGAGCCUAGAGGGACCUUCCUGUCACAGCACCAGAGAAGGAACUUGUGAAGCAGCAACAUUGCUCUAUUCAUAUAUUCUUAAAAUGCUGCCCCAGUGAGCCUUGUCCCAGUGCCCUUCUGCUCAGCACAUGGGCCAUCUGCCUGUGGCAGAGCCUGGGGCAUCUAGAAAAGAAUAUUCUCAGGUGACUCUCCUGUGAAAAUGCCCCAUCAAUCUGAAGGCACUUGUAGGCAGCAGAGCUUUCUAUGCCAGAGGUGUCGGGGAUCUGGGUUGCUAUUGGGGUUCUUAUUUUGAUGCCAAUAAGCAUCUUCACCGGAAAGAACCUUCUAGAUUUCACUAAAAUCUUUACACAGGCUCAAAGACAAGGAGUCUCUGCAUCCAUCUGUGAAUUUUCUACAGCAAAUUGUCCCCGUUUUCCCCUGAAGAUAGCAUUUCCUGGUACCAGUUUAUCAAAUCUCAUGCUCUUCUGGGCCCCAGUUGUAGAAACAACUUUGGCUCUUGUUUUGCAUGUCGUCAAGUCCAAUUCCAGGUCCUAAUAAUGUUUUAGAAAAGCUCACUGAACUUAAGAGAAACCUUAAUUUUCUGCUACCAGCAAUGCAUGUCUGCCUAGGCCGCCUGCCUUGCCCUCCAUGCAAGGGCACUCCUAGCAGAGAGAUGGUGGGAGACAAAGUUUGGCUUCACAUUUAGCCCCUUCUCAGUGCCAAAGAAAUGGCCACUGUGCAGUGAUGACACCCAAGGAGGGAACUUCCUUGUAGGGAAAGCCUCUGAGGAAGCCGGGGGUGGGAAUACAAAGUAUUUCUGAAAUGCCCAACCCACUGAAAACCUCCAGAAAAUGGAAGUCAAACAUUAUCUCGUUUCAUAAGGAGAGAAAACUCUCUCAAGACUUGAGUGUCCUGGAAUCCUCCAAGGCCAGGUAUCUGAGCUUACCUCAUUUGGCACACAUUUUAUAAAAUAGGGGUUUGGAGGGAUAUAGAGGAAAAAACUGUGUUCUAUUCUCAUUAUUCGCAGGCUGUAGACAGCUGUCGACACUCACAGACCACACACUGUUUAGACUUCAAUUAGGCACCAAGUUUUGUACAGUCCUAUAGUUCAUUCUUGUCUUGAAUGAGCUUUUCUUUCUCCUACACUGGAAGCCGGCUCUGAAUUGAUCAGGGAAAAAGCUAACAACGAUUAGUACAGUCACAACCAAAUACGACACCUACAAGUGACAUAUCUGGUACGAUCCUUUUUAGAAGAAGCCUAUGUUAGUUUUCUAUCCCUGUGUAACAAAUUACCAUAAAUUGAGAGACUUAAGACAACAUAAGUUUAUUAUCUCACAGUUUUUGACACUUAGCUGGGUCCUCUGCUCAGGGUCUCAUAGGCUGAAAUCAGGGCAUCAGCCAGGCUGCAUCCUCAUCUGGAUGCUCAACCCGGGAAAGGUCCACUUCCAAGCUCCCUUGUAGGCAGAAUUCAGUUCCUUACAUUUGUAGGACUAAGAUCCGCAUUGUCCCGCUGGCUGUUGGCAGGGGACUUCCUAGAAGCCAUUUUGCGGGUCCUUGCCACGUGACCUCGUCCAUUUCAUUAAUGGAGAAACCUUGGCAUUGAAUCACUUUCAUGCUUUGAAUCUCUUUGACUUCUCUUUCUGUGACCAGCCAGAGAAAAACUCUCUGCUUUUAAAAAGCUCCUGUAAUUAGGUCAGCCCUACCUGGAUAAUCUAUAUUUGAAGGCUAACAGAUUUGAGACUUUAAUGACAUCUGCAAAAUCCCUUCACAGCAGUACCAGGAUUAGUGUUUGAUUGAAUAACCAGGGGCCAGGGACCUUUGGGAGCCAUCAUGGAGUCCUGCCUACGACCAGAUCCAACAGCACUUAGCUCUUCUCUGACAGGCCCAGUUUAAUGGUGUUAAUGGUGAGAAAGUAGACUGUCAGCUGGAAUCUAGCUGAAUUCCUUAAUCUUUUAAUGGUUGCUUACAGCAAAUACUGAAAGCAGUGUUCUUUCCUUUACCUGUAGCCCUUUUCAUGAAUACUACAGUGGCACACAUUUAUUGUCACCAUGACAGAUGAGGAAACUGAGGCACAAAGAAUUUUGGAAACUCCCAAGUUAGUAAAUGGCAGUGCCUAGAAUCUGGGUCUGGCAAACCUCAAAGCCCAGAAACUCUGUUGUUAGAACACACACGUGGAAAAUUUCAAACCACGAGCUCGAAGGAAGAGCUGCAGUUGGAAUCAAAGAAGUCUCACUCCAGAAUGCAUGCUCUUGACCACUAAGCACACAGCCUGGCUUUGCACACCAAGAAGGUGAAAGUAACAGUCUAAUGAAGGAAGGGUCAGGCCCACGUGGAGGCUAAACACUCUGCAGGAGAUGUUCAGGACCUCUUUUGUAACUGCACUGCAGCCAACACUGUCCGACUGAGAGCUCACAGGAAGCACGGAAAUGAUGGGGCGUGGAGACGGAGAAAGCCAGAGAUGGUGGUCCCUCCCGGCCCCUUCCCACUCUCUUUACUUUACUAGAGGCACUUUUUUCCUUAGUUUGUUGCAAACCUGUAGGACACGUCGUGUUUGCGCUCUUCCUUUCUGCUUUAUGCCUUGAAUUCUUUAAAAAUUCUUCUAAAGUAACAUCACUGCAAAGCCAGAGAGAGCCCCUGAGGGCACCUGAUUGUUCAGGUCCUGAACUUGGAGGAUUUUUGUUUCUGUCUUGGGGAUGGGGUUUUUCCAAGUCACUCAGUGUGGGUGCCUAGGUGCAGAGGAAACUUCUACAUAGAAUAUACUUCUGGCCUACCCUGACACGACAAACAGGUUAAGGAUGACUUGUGGGAGAUUUUGCUAAUCCAUCAGUGCUGGGUGGGGCAGAGUGUGGAGGCGUAGCCUUUUGGGGAUGUCAGGUGGAGGAAGCAGAGCUGCCCACAGGCAGUUCCAGGAACUCACAGGUGUGUCUGAACUGGCCCAACCGCACACUGGAUGUGGCGAACUUCAUCACAUUCAAGCGAUCUGGAUUUUAGUCCUGUUAAAUGCUCUGGUGUUUUUGUGGUGAUAACCUGGAAGGAAGCUGCCAGGGAGAGUGAGAGUGGUUAGGGAACAUGGGAUGAGGCCUAAUGAUAAUUGCAAUCACCUGACACUGGUGAGGACCCUGGCGCCUGCAUCUCAGACCCGGUGAGCAGCAGUGCUAUUCUGAAAACGCCUGUAAAAUGUGCGUGUGUGCAUAUGCGUGCACACACACAGGGAGCAAUGGGACCUAGUGAGGCUGUUGAUUUCCUUUCUGAACCUCUUUUCCUGCAACUCAUUUUAAUUCUAUGAAGCAAAAACUAAAAGGGAAAUCGGAAACUUCCCAAGAACAAAGGAACAGCCUACAAAGGAGCAGGGCUUAAUCUGCCUUUGAUGCAGAAAACACCUAUUGCUCCCGGAUUUAUACAGAUGUCACUUUUUAGGCAGAACCAGUUCAGAUUGGCGACACUGUCUUAGCAGUCGCUUCCUGUGACCUCCCUUGAGACUUCGCAUCCAUUUUUGUGAAGUGCUGAUCUCCCAAGGCUUUACCUUUUAAAAUCACACUAAGGGCAGGAUCCCGGCAUAAACCUCGCAAAUUCCCAGAAGAGGCAGAAAACACAGCAGCCCAGGAAGCGGGAGCCCCAAGUUCUAGUUCUGGCUAUUGCUAACUCUCUAUAACUUCAGACAAGUCCUUGAACCUCUCUGGGCUUCAGUUUCCUCUUCUGGGAAAAUAGUGGGGGUUGGAUCCUUUGAUGGGUAAGGUCCCUGAUUGCAUUAACGUCCCGUGAUAAAGGUAUUUCACAUGUAACAUCUAUGAUAAGGGUAUUUCAACUGCAUAUAUCUCAGCAAGGGUGAACUAAAACAGCUUUUCACUCUUCAGGUGCAGAACAGAGGGGCCAACCUGUUUGGUUGCCUGAGUAGUGAUUAGGAAGCCAGCUGCAAACUUGUGUUUCC
Symphalangus syndactylus (siamang) is the source of this 7522-nucleotide RNA transcript. It is a transcript of the gene named SLX4 interacting protein, with no coding region annotated. Lineage: Eukaryota; Metazoa; Chordata; Mammalia; Primates; Hylobatidae. The record is from RefSeq and is a predicted model, not a curated record.